UAUAAUGGAAAUAAAAUAAUUGAAGGGGCU
This 30-nucleotide non-coding RNA is filed under the name Mus musculus (house mouse). The record is from RNAcentral. Lineage: Eukaryota; Metazoa; Chordata; Mammalia; Rodentia; Muridae.